RNAcentral lists this ribosomal RNA (207 nucleotides) under uncultured bacterium. Its description in RNAcentral is "partial 16S ribosomal RNA". It matches the Rfam family "Bacterial small subunit ribosomal RNA", at positions 568 to 774 of the family's 1533-position model. The record is from RNAcentral.
CACGUAGGCGGACUCUUAAGUCGGUGGUGAAAUCCUGGAGCUCAACUCCAGAACUGCCUCCGAUACUGGGAGCCUUCGAGUCCGGGAGAGGUGAGUGGAACUGCGAGUGUAGAGGUGAAAUUCGUAGAUAUUCGCAAGAACACCAGUGGCGAAGGCGGCUCACUGGCCCGGUACUGACGCUGAGGUGCGAAAGCGUGGGAGCAAACA